CCUAAUAAACGAUGGAAGAAAGUAGCAAUUCUUAUCAAGGUCAGCUCUCCUGGAUUUCUGUCCGUAGCGUCCAGUUGAAAGAAGAAGGUAUCCUUGGAGGAAACUUUGAAUCUGGGGGGGUGCGAUUUUUGUGCCCUCUUUAUGGAUGGCUCUUUUGUCCAUGAUUAAACCAUAAAAGGAUGAUCAGUUUUGAGUGAAAAUUGAAAAUAACAAAAGAUAUUUGGAUCAGUUAAUAAAUAUAUCCUGUGCCACACCGAAAAAUUGUUCAACAAUAAAGCGUAUAUAUUUCAGGAGUAAUGAAAUAAUAUAUUCACAAAUCCAUAGAAGUUUAUAAUUGUUUAUUUCCUGGCUUUCUAGUUUUUACUAGAAAUUAAAGUCACUAAGAGUUAAGAAUUCUAAUACAAAAACUGCUAGAAAUCAUGAAGGAAAUACCUCAAUAUGAAAAGCUACAAUGAAGUUUAAUUCUGGAACUCAGCCAGGCCCUUAAGAGGAUGGAGGCGAGUUUUUCCCACAGCAGUUCUGAAUGGGAUGAAGUGAAAAAUAAAAUCUCCCCAUUGCCACUACACCACCUCCAGCCAUGUAAGACAUGCCUGCUCCCCUUUACCUUCUGCC
Long non-coding RNA from Cercocebus atys (sooty mangabey), 612 nucleotides. RefSeq lists it as uncharacterized. Lineage: Eukaryota; Metazoa; Chordata; Mammalia; Primates; Cercopithecidae. The record is from RefSeq and is a predicted model, not a curated record. The transcript is spliced from 5 exons.